UAUCCUCAAUGAAGAUGGUCUA
Molecule: small nuclear RNA, 22 nt
Filed under: Arabidopsis thaliana (thale cress)
Lineage: Eukaryota; Viridiplantae; Streptophyta; Magnoliopsida; Brassicales; Brassicaceae
Description: snRNA_12732
Source: RNAcentral